AUGCCGCGGCCGGAGGUGCAGGCGCCGCCGGAGAUAUUCUACAACGAGGCGGAGGCGCGCAAGUACACCACCUCCUCCCGNNNNNNNNNNNNNCAGGCGAGGAUCUCCGAGAGGGCGCUGGAGCUGCUGGCGCUCCCCGACGACGGCGUCCCCAAGAUGCUGCUCGACAUCGGGUGCGGCUCCGGGCUUAGCGGCGAGACGCUGACGGAGCACGGGCACCGCUGGAUCGGCUGCGAUAUCUCGCGGUCCAUGCUUGAUGUUGCUCUGGAGCGGGAGACGGAGGGUGACCUCCUGCUCGCAGACAUGGGCGAGGGCCUAGGCUUGCGCCCAGGAGUUAUGGAUGGUGCAAUUAGUAUUUCAGCAGUCCAGUGGUUAUGCAAUGCUGACAAGUCUUCUCAUGAACCAAGAUUACGGUUAAAGGCUUUCUUUGGAUCACUAUAUAGAUGCUUAGCAAGGGGAGCAAGGGCCGUUCUACAGUUUUAUGCUGAUAAUGUGAAACAAACCGAAAUGCUCGUGUCUUUUGCCAUGAAAGCUGGAUUUGCUGGUGGAGUGGUCAUUGACUGGCCUCAUAGUUCGAAAGCAAAGAAGUCCUACCUUGUCCUCACUUGUGGUACAUCUUCUGUCGCAUCUCUUCCAAAGGGGAAAGGUGAAAACGGUGAGAUGUGCAGCAGUGAUGAUGACGAUGAUGGUGAUGAAAGCAACGAUGACCAAACAGUUGGCACAUAUGGACGGAACAGGUCGAACAAGAGGCAGAAAGUGAACAAGAAGAACGGCAGGGGCAAGGAUUGGCUGCUGAGGAAAAAGGAGCAGAUGAGGAAGAGAGGACGCGACGUCCCCGCGGACACGAAAUACACGGGGCGGAAGCGGAAAACCCGCUUCUAA
This 882-nucleotide ribosomal RNA is filed under the name Triticum aestivum (bread wheat). Its description in RNAcentral is "partial small subunit ribosomal RNA". The record is from RNAcentral. Lineage: Eukaryota; Viridiplantae; Streptophyta; Magnoliopsida; Poales; Poaceae.